This 811-nucleotide ribosomal RNA is filed under the name Kirschsteiniothelia aethiops. RNAcentral's name for it is "SSU rRNA". It matches the Rfam family "Eukaryotic small subunit ribosomal RNA", at positions 229 to 1047 of the family's 1831-position model. Lineage: Eukaryota; Fungi; Ascomycota; Dothideomycetes; Kirschsteiniotheliales; Kirschsteiniotheliaceae. The record is from RNAcentral.
CCCUUCGGGGCUCCUUGGUGAUUCAUGAUAACUCAACGGAUCGCAGGGCCUUGCGCCGGCGAUGGUUCAUUCAAAUUUCUGCCCUAUCAACUUUCGAUGGUAGGAUCGGGGCCUACCAUGGUAUCAACGGGUAACGGGGAAUUAGGGUUCGAUUCCGGAGAGGGAGCCUGAGAGACGCUACCACAUCCAAGGAAGGCAGCAGGCGCGCAAAUUACCCAAUCCCGACUCGGGGAGGUAGUGACAAUAAAUACUGAUACAGGGCUCUUUUGGGUCUUGUAAUUGGAAUGAGUACAAUUUAAACCCCUUAACGAGGAACAAUUGGAGGGCAAGUCUGGUGCCAGCAGCCGCGGUAAUUCCAGCUCCAAUAGCGUAUAUUAAAGUUGUUGCAGUUAAAAAGCUCGUAGUUGAACCUUGGGCCUGGCUGGCCGGUCCGCCUCACCGCGUGCACUGGUUCGGCCGGGCCUUUCCUUCUGGCGAGCCACAUGCCCUUCACUGGGCGUGCUGGGGAACCAGGACUUUUACUUUGAAAAAAUUAGAGUGUUCAAAGCAGGCCUUUGCUCGAAUACAUUAGCAUGGAAUAAUAGAAUAGGACGGCGGUCCUAUUUUGUUGGUUUCUAGAACCGCCGUAAUGAUUAAUAGGGAUAGUCGGGGGCGUCCGUAUUCAAUUGUCAGAGGUGAAAUUCUUGGAUUUAUUGAAGACGAACUACUGCGAAAGCAUUCGCCAAGGAUGUUUUCAUUAAUCAGGAACGAAAGUUAGGGGAUCGAAGACGAUCAGAUACCGUCGUAGUCUUAACCGUAAACCAUGCCGACU